GAUGAACGCUGGCGGCGUGCCUAAUACAUGCAAGUAGAACGCUGAAGCUUGGUGCUUGCACCGAGCGGAUGAGUUGCGAACGGGUGAGUAACGCGUAGGUAACCUGCCUCUUAGCGGGGGAUAACUAUUGGAAACGAUAGCUAAUACCGCAUAAAAGUCGAUAUCGCAUGAUAUUGAUUUGAAAGGUGCAAAUGCAUCACUAAGAGAUGGACCUGCGUUGUAUUAGCUAGUUGGUGAGGUAACGGCUCACCAAGGCGACGAUACAUAGCCGACCUGAGAGGGUGAUCGGCCACACUGGGACUGAGACACGGCCCAGACUCCUACGGGAGGCAGCAGUAGGGAAUCUUCGGCAAUGGGGGCAACCCUGACCGAGCAACGCCGCGUGAGUGAAGAAGGUUUUCGGAUCGUAAAGCCCUGUUGUAAGAGAAGAACGAGUGUGAGAGUGGAAAGUUCACACUGUGACGGUAACUUACCAGAAAGGGACGGCUAACUACGUG
This 497-nucleotide ribosomal RNA is filed under the name uncultured bacterium. Its description in RNAcentral is "partial 16S ribosomal RNA". It matches the Rfam family "Bacterial small subunit ribosomal RNA", at positions 28 to 507 of the family's 1533-position model. The record is from RNAcentral.